GUGGCUAUGGUGUAGCGGUAACACAGCAGGUUGUGGUCCUGUUAUCGAGGGUUCAACUCCCUCUAGCCACCCCA
This 74-nucleotide transfer RNA is filed under the name Parcubacteria group bacterium CG2_30_48_51. Its description in RNAcentral is "tRNA-His". It matches the Rfam family "tRNA". From Rfam's summary of the family: Transfer RNA (tRNA) molecules are approximately 80 nucleotides in length. Their secondary structure includes four short double-helical elements and three loops (D, anti-codon, and T loops). RNAcentral also lists the same sequence under 4 other names. The record is from RNAcentral.